RNAcentral lists this ribosomal RNA (3031 nucleotides) under Listeria monocytogenes. Its description in RNAcentral is "23S ribosomal RNA". It matches the Rfam family "Bacterial large subunit ribosomal RNA". Lineage: Bacteria; Bacillati; Bacillota; Bacilli; Caryophanales; Listeriaceae. The record is from RNAcentral.
GGUUAAGUUAGAAAGGGCGCACGGUGGAUGCCUUGGCACUAGGAGCCGAAGAAGGACGGGACUAACACCGAUAUGCUUUGGGGAGCUGUACGUAAGCGUUGAUCCAGAGAUUUCCGAAUGGGGGAACCCACUAUCUUUAGUCGGAUAGUAUCCUUACGUGAAUACAUAGCGUGAGGAAGGCAGACCCAGGGAACUGAAACAUCUAAGUACCUGGAGGAAGAGAAAGAAAAAUCGAUUUCCUGAGUAGCGGCGAGCGAAACGGAAAGAGCCCAAACCAAGAAGCUUGCUUCUUGGGGUUGUAGGACACUCUAUACGGAGUUACAAAAGAAAGUUAUAAAUGAAGCGGUCUGGAAAGGCCCGCCAAAGACGGUAACAGCCCGGUAGUUGAAAUGGCUUUCCCUCCAGAGUGGAUCCUGAGUACGGCGGAACACGUGAAAUUCCGUCGGAAUCCGGGAGGACCAUCUCCCAAGGCUAAAUACUCCCUAGUGACCGAUAGUGAACCAGUACCGUGAGGGAAAGGUGAAAAGCACCCCGGAAGGGGAGUGAAACAGUUCCUGAAACCGUGUGCCUACAAGUAGUUAGAGCCCGUUAAUGGGUGAUAGCGUGCCUUUUGUAGAAUGAACCGGCGAGUUACGAUUUGUUGCAAGGUUAAGCGGAAAAAGCGGAGCCGUAGCGAAAGCGAGUCUGAAUAGGGCGCAUAAGUAACAGGUCGUAGACCCGAAACCAGGUGAUCUACCCAUGUCCAGGAUGAAGGUAAGGUAAUACUUACUGGAGGUCCGAACCCACGCACGUUGAAAAGUGCGGGGAUGAGGUGUGGGUAGCGGAGAAAUUCCAAUCGAACUUGGAGAUAGCUGGUUCUCUCCGAAAUAGCUUUAGGGCUAGCCUCGAGGUAAAGAGUCAUGGAGGUAGAGCACUGUUUGGACUAGGGGCCCUUCUCGGGUUACCGAAUUCAGAUAAACUCCGAAUGCCAUGUACUUAUACUCGGGAGUCAGACUGCGAGUGAUAAGAUCCGUAGUCGAAAGGGAAACAGCCCAGACCACCAGUUAAGGUCCCCAAAUAUAUGUUAAGUGGAAAAGGAUGUGGGGUUGCUUAGACAACCAGGAUGUUGGCUUAGAAGCAGCCACCAUUGAAAGAGUGCGUAAUAGCUCACUGGUCGAGUGACCCCGCGCCGAAAAUGUACCGGGGCUAAACAUAUUACCGAAACUGUGGAUGAACCUCUUUAGAGGUUCGUGGUAGGAGAGCGUUCUAAGGGCGGUGAAGUCAGACCGGAAGGACUGGUGGAGCGCUUAGAAGUGAGAAUGCCGGUAUGAGUAGCGAAAGAAGGGUGAGAAUCCCUUCCACCGAAUAUCUAAGGUUUCCUGAGGAAGGCUCGUCCGCUCAGGGUUAGUCGGGACCUAAGCCGAGGCCGAUAGGCGUAGGCGAUGGACAACAGGUAGAGAUUCCUGUACCAGUGCUAAUUGUUUAACCGAUGGGGUGACACAGAAGGAUAGGGAAUCGCACGAAUGGAAAUGUGCGUCCAAGCAGUGAGUGUGAGAAGUAGGCAAAUCCGCUUCUCACNNNNNNNNNNNNNNNNNNNNNNNNNNNNNNNNNNNNNNNNNNNNNNNNNNNNNNNNNNNNNNNNNNNNNNNNNNNNNNNNNNNNNNNNNNNNNNNNNACGAAGCAUGAGCUGUGAUGGGGAAGGAAAUUAAGUACGGAAGUUCCUGAUUUCACGCUGUCAAGAAAAGCCUCUAGGAAGAGUAGUACUGCCCGUACCGCAAACCGACACAGGUAGAUGAGGAGAGAAUCCUAAGGUGAGCGAGAGAACUCUCGUUAAGGAACUCGGCAAAAUGACCCCGUAACUUCGGGAGAAGGGGUGCUCUAUUAGGGUGCAAGCCCGAGAGAGCCGCAGUGAAUAGGCCCAGGCGACUGUUUAGCAAAAACACAGGUCUCUGCAAAACCGUAAGGUGACGUAUAGGGGCUGACGCCUGCCCGGUGCUGGAAGGUUAAGAGGAGUGCUUAGCUUCGGCGAAGGUACGAAUUGAAGCCCCAGUAAACGGCGGCCGUAACUAUAACGGUCCUAAGGUAGCGAAAUUCCUUGUCGGGUAAGUUCCGACCCGCACGAAAGGCGCAACGAUCUGGGCACUGUCUCAACGAGAGACUCGGUGAAAUUAUAGUACCUGUGAAGAUGCAGGUUACCCGCGACAGGACGGAAAGACCCCGUGGAGCUUUACUGCAACCUGAUAUGGAAUGUUUGUACCGCUUGUACAGGAUAGGUAGGAGCCGAAGAGACGUGUGCGCUAGCAUACGAGGAGGCAAUGGUGGGAUACUACCCUGGCUGUAUGACCAUUCUAACCCGCCACGCUUAGCGCGUGGGGAGACAGUGUCAGGUGGGCAGUUUGACUGGGGCGGUCGCCUCCUAAAGAGUAACGGAGGCGCCCAAAGGUUCCCUCAGAAUGGAUGGAAAUCAUUCGCAGAGUGUAAAGGCACAAGGGAGCUUGACUGCGAGACUGACAAGUCGAGCAGGGACGAAAGUCGGGCUUAGUGAUCCGGUGGUUCCGCAUGGAAGGGCCAUCGCUCAACGGAUAAAAGCUACCCCGGGGAUAACAGGCUUAUCUCCCCCAAGAGUCCACAUCGACGGGGAGGUUUGGCACCUCGAUGUCGGCUCGUCGCAUCCUGGGGCUGUAGUCGGUCCCAAGGGUUGGGCUGUUCGCCCAUUAAAGCGGCACGCGAGCUGGGUUCAGAACGUCGUGAGACAGUUCGGUCCCUAUCCGUCGCGGGCGCAGGAAAUUUGAGAGGAGCUGUCCUUAGUACGAGAGGACCGGGAUGGACACACCGCUGGUGUACCAGUUGUUCCGCCAGGAGCAUCGCUGGGUAGCUAUGUGUGGCAGGGAUAAACGCUGAAAGCAUCUAAGCGUGAAGCCCCCCUCAAGAUGAGAUUUCCCAUUUCUUCGGAAAGUAAGAUCCCUGAAAGAUGAUCAGGUAGAUAGGUUUGGAGUGGAAGUGUAGCGAUACAUGGAGCGGACAAAUACUAAUCGAUCGAGGACUUAACCAA